This 1412-nucleotide ribosomal RNA is filed under the name Pirozynskiomyces sinensis. Its description in RNAcentral is "LSU rRNA". It matches the Rfam family "Eukaryotic large subunit ribosomal RNA", at positions 23 to 1462 of the family's 3401-position model. Lineage: Eukaryota; Fungi; Ascomycota; Sordariomycetes; Xylariales; Coniocessiaceae. The record is from RNAcentral.
ACCCGCUGAACUUAAGCAUAUCAAUAAGCGGAGGAAAAGAAACCAACAGGGAUUCCCCUAGUAACGGCGAGUGAAGCGGGAACAGCUCAAAUUUGAAAGCUGGCCUUCUGGUCCGCAUUGUAAUUUGUAGAGGAUGCUUUUGGCGCGGUGCCUUCUGAGUUCCUUGGAACAGGACGCCUUAGAGGGUGAGAGCCCCGUACAGUUGGACACCUAGCCUUUGUAAAGCUCCUUCGACGAGUCGAGUAGUUUGGGAAUGCUGCUCUAAAUGGGAGGUAAAUUUCUUCUAAAGCUAAAUACCGGCCAGAGACCGAUAGCGCACAAGUAGAGUGAUCGAAAGAUGAAAAGCACUUUGAAAAGAGGGUUAAAUAGCACGUGAAAUUGUUGAAAGGGAAGCGCUUAUGACCAGACUUUUUCCAGGCGGAUCAUCCGGCGUUCUCGCCGGUGCACUUCGUCUGGUUUAGGCCAACAUCGAUUUUCGCCGGGGGAUAAAGGCUUCGGGAAUGUGACUCUCUCCGGGGAGUGUUAUAGCCCGUUGUGUAAUACCCUGGCGGGGAUCGAGGUACGCGCUCUGCAAGGAUGUUGGCAUAAUGGUCAUCAGUGACCCGUCUUGAAACACGGACCAAGGAGUCGAACAUUUAUGCGAGUGUUUGGGUGUUAAACCCUCACGCGUAAUGAAAGUGAACGGAGGUGAGAGCCUUUUAGGUGCAUCAUCGACCGAUCCUGAAGUCUUCGGAUGGAUUUGAGUAAGAGCAUAACUGUUCGGACCCGAAAGAUGGUGAACUAUGCGUGGAUAGGGUGAAGCCAGAGGAAACUCUGGUGGAGGCUCGCAGCGGUUCUGACGUGCAAAUCGAUCGUCAAAUCUGCGCAUGGGGGCGAAAGACUAAUCGAACCAUCUAGUAGCUGGUUACCGCCGAAGUUUCCCUCAGGAUAGCAGUGUUGUUUUCAGUUUUAUGAGGUAAAGCGAAUGAUUAGGGACUCGGGGGCGCUUUUUAGCCUUCAUCCAUUCUCAAACUUUAAAUAUGUAAGAAGCCCUUGUUACUUAAUUGAACGUGGGCAUUCGAAUGUAUCAACACUAGUGGGCCAUUUUUGGUAAGCAGAACUGGCGAUGCGGGAUGAACCGAACGCGAGGUUAAGGUGCCAGAGUAGACGCUCAUCAGACACCACAAAAGGUGUUAGUACAUCUUGACAGCAGGACGGUGGCCAUGGAAGUCGGAAUCCGCUAAGGACUGUGUAACAACUCACCUGCCGAAUGUACUAGCCCUGAAAAUGGAUGGCGCUCAAGCGUCUCACCCAUACCUCGCCCUCAGGGUAGAAACGAUGCCCUGAGGAGUAGGCGGCCGUGGAGGUCAGUGACGAAGCCUAGGGCGUGAGCCCGGGUAGAACGGCCUCUAGUGCAGAUCUGGUGGGUAGUA